UACAUAAUGUUAUGCCGUGUUAUCAUGGGAAAUGUCGAAUUGGUCAAUCCUGGAUCUGGACAGUGCCAUCCCAGUUCUAUACAAUAUGAUAGUGGAGUUGAUGACCUUCAAAAUCCACGCCAUCUAAUAGUUUGGAGUAUGAACAUGAACACCCAUAUUUUUCCAGAGUAUGUUGUCAGUUUCAAGACAUCUUCGAAAGCUGAAGGUGGUAUAUCUAUCCUCAUAUACUUGUUCCUUGUUUGAUUUUCUGGAGUGAUUCUUGCACUCACAGAUCUCCAUCUGCACGCCUUUUUUGUUUUUGCUCUUCAAUUGUUCUUAUUUCCAACCGUGCUCCUAGUCUCAGAAUGUUCUAUCACAAGUACCCAUCUAACAUUGCUGCCACGCUCAACUACAUGAAACUGAAUACGGUCAGUUAGAAAUGAAGGUGGGAUGAACACCUGAAAUCAAUAGGUGUUAAUAGCUAUAAUGACAAUCUGGAACUAUGUAGUGGUGCUCACUUGACAGUUGACAGUUGAUGAUCCCCAGCCAGUAAGUAUGAAUUUAGACCUAGGGUCUUUCUUCUAAUCAACCUAGAAUGAGUCUAUAGUUGCUCAGAUUAGGGAGUGGUCAUUGAUUUUUGGGUUAUUCGAACCUCUUUGAUCAAAUCACUGAGAGGAAAAAAAAAGAAAAGAAGGCGGCAUACUAUGGCAGUGUUAAGUUGGUUUCAUGUAAAGUUAAAACAUGUUAGAACACUGAAACUCAAAGAUUGACUGUUGAAAUAAGAAUAAUUGAAAGGUAGUGCAGAUGGAGAUGUGGGAAGUGUGAAAAUCACUCCUUUUAUUUCUGGAGCCAAAUUCAUUUUUGAAAAUAGUAAUUUGAAGAAAUAUGGACUUGAUUGCAUUUUUUUUUCAAUAUCCUAUUCAAGUAGCUUCUGAUAAUGCAGUCAGAAGGUUUGAAGCAGGCUGUGCAAUCUUUUUAUUUGGUCAUGCUAUCUCCAUACUUAUGAAAUAGGCUAUCCUUUCUCUUUGUACAUCUACGUAUGACUUGUCACUUGCUGGUCCAAAUCUCUGGUGGGUUUUUCACUUACUGGGGACCUCUUGGUUCAUGAAAACCUUUCUUUCGAUCAAUUUUGCUUAGAAAAUGCAAGUAUUGGACCACUAGAACUUUUUGUUGCUACUACAGGGACCAUGGUUACAGAAAGCAGAGGUCCUCUGUCUGGAAUUACAACUAGUGAUGAAUGUCGAGGCCAAUUGCAGUUCAACUGCUCCCCAAUGGAAUCAGUAAGUCCUCCAUUGCGUUGAAACUUAAGCUUAUUGUUUUCUAUUCCGCCUCAUAAUAUCAUCUUCAUCUUGUUUGCAAGAAUGUUAAACAUUGGCGUUAUUUGCAACUUUGCUUUAGUAAAUUGAUGCACAAAUAAUUUGUUGUGCCUAUCCAACAUUAAAGGACUUCUGAUGUUGGUAGUGUAGACGGCUGAAACUGCCUUAACUUCCAUUCAUGAAGCCAUAACUGUUCUGUGAUAUCUAGAAGGCAUCAAAUCCCAUAAUUAUUCUCCUUUAUUCUCUUUCUCUCUCUCUCUCNNNNNNNNNNNNNNNNNNNNCUUCUUCUCUUCUCUCUCUCUCUCUCUCUCUCUCUCUCUCUCUCUCUCUCUCUCUCUAUCUAUAUAUAUAUAUAUAUUCUGGCAAUUCUCUUUCUGGUGCGCCUUCAGACGAAACCUAAGAUCACCCAUCUUCUUGCCUUGGCUUCUCUUAAUAUUGAAGCAGAAUGUGAGGCUUACUUUGAAUCUUUCUUUAUAGACUUGAGCUAUGGCAAGAUGAUAGUUGUAUUAGGUUAUUUGGCAUUGGAUUCUACUAGUGUUAGCCAAAGGAUGUUUGCUUUGGAAUACUUUCGUGUCAGGUUCAAUGACAUGUAGAAUUUACUAGUGUUGAGUCAAAGUGUGGAAUUCUGUUGGUAUACUCUCAGUGUUUCAGUUCAUUUUUUUUGUAUAACUUAUUUAGCAAUUAUGCAUAAGGAUCUACAAGUUGUAUUCUUGAGGUUUUGCUCUCCUUUGUCACUUUUCUGAAUACUUUUUGAUACUUUCAAUGCUUUUUCUGUAGGGGAGGCGUUCUAGGCCAGCUUUAGAAUCCAAGGGAUCACAGGAAAAGCCUGUUGGAAUUGGCUCAAGCUCUUUGGCAGGUCCGAAAUCCCCAUGGAUGCCAUUUCCAGCAUUAUUUGAAGCUAUUUCAAAAGAAGUUGCUCCGAACGAUAUGAAAUUGGUUAAUGUUCACUAUGACCUAUUCAGGGUAUGUAAUUUUGGAUUCUUAGUAUUUAGAUCUUAGUGAAAAUUUCGUUUAUCAUGAUUCUUUCUCUUGUCGGUCACUUAUUAGAGCAAGAAGAUCAGCCGGGAAGAUUUUAUUCAGAAGUUAAGAGCAAUUGUUGGAGAUUCCUUGCUGAGGUCAACCAUAAUAAGCCUUCAGUGCAAGGUAAUGUCAUCUUUAAUGAUGUUAGAUACAUACUUGAUCAGUUCAUGUGGAGCAAUGUCAUGCGUUGUGUAUGUUUGUGGCUGGCCUGUGGAAAACAAGCUCUGACUUGCUUUCACAGUUAAUUUGGCACCCAUAUUUGGCUGGCUUCCCUUUGGUUGGUAUUUUUCAUGAUUUUUGCUUGUAGUUGUAUUCAAUGCUUGCCCUCAUCCCUUUGCCAGGGAGUCUUCUUCAUUCAGGAAGUUUUUUCUUGGAAUCUGUGAAUUCUUAGUUUCGUUACAUGUUUAUAAUUUAUUUAAAAUGAACAAAUUCAUAGCAACUCAUCUCUGAAAGGGAACAAUAUAGAGGUUGUCUGAUGAGUAAUUUAUAUAAAUGGAAUUUAUAUUUAUUAACUUAUGACUGUUCAUUUUGCACAGCUGCCACCAAUCUCUGCAAUCCCUAUGAAACCGCCAAAGCAGGGAGGAGAAUUUGAUGCCGCUUGAUUUGUUAAAUGGUGGUUGGAUCUCUGACUGUCGUUGGGGUCUGGCUGAUGUUUGGUAAGGUUGCUGCUCUCCUAAUGUGUCGACAUGAUGCAAACCAUAUUACCAUUUGACAGAUGGAUAUGGCUUUGUUGGAUUUUUGUCUAUUUAUGCUUUGUACUGAAACUCUGGUUUGAACUCUGGAGUGUAAAGCUGAAUUGGAUUGUAAACUGGUCACUGAUCAUUGUUAGUUCUAGUUUUCUAGCGAAUUUCGGGAAUUUUGAAAUUUCAAAUCUAGUAAAAUCCAUCUGUUUAAUGUCUGUUGGAAAAUGUCCUUUCCUUCUCAAUGAUUCUUACUGGAUCCCUUGGGAAAUUAUAUUGAAUAAUUAGUUAAAGUCUAGAGUGAUCUGAACUUAAGCCAAUAUACUGCCCUGAGAAUUCCUACAAAAAAGCAGCCUUGUAUGUGAGUGCUUAUUUGGCUGUAUGCCAAUCUGAAUUUGAACAUCAGAUUGUUGCCUGAAUUCAAUAUUUUCCUUAAUUUGACCUUUAUAGAUCGUUCGAAUAUGUUUAGUGGUAUGGGGUUAUUGGUGAAUGUGAUUGGUAGUAGGUACACAUGCUUUAGUGUAACUACUACGAUGCGCAGAUAUUGAUUUGGGGUGCAGUAUGAAUGAAACCAAUUACCUAUACAAAGCCAAAUCAUCCCUUGGUCCUAACUCCUGACCCAGAUUUGCAAAUCUUUUUGAACCAGGGAUGUGAGGAUUUGAACUCCAGCUUCGUUUACAUUUCAUUUUUUUUCGUGGUUAGUUUAUCUGUUUUAUUAGAUGAAAUUAAACAAGACAGUGCAUCUAUUUUUUUUUUUUUUUUUCUAGUAAGAUACGUCAAGUUUAUUGAUACAAAAACAUUAUCUUGAUAUUAGUCUCUAAAAAGGGAGGUGAGAAGAGAAAAACAUGGUUUAUUAUAGUGCAUAAAGCAUUUUUGCAGAAUGUUUCAUGUCAUGAUCAUUCAUUCUUCAUGAUCAUUAUGCUUGAAGUAUAAGUGGUGUAUUCCAUUAUUUCAGUUUCAUGCCCAGACUUCGAAAGUAUCAGAACCAUAUUGUUCAAAUGAUUCAAAUUAAUCGGGUUCUCGUUAAUAAACCAGAAUGAUCAGGUAGCGAGCCAAGCAUCCAAUAAGUCUGAACUCUGAAGCUGCUCGUCGAAAAAAAAAAACACAAGUCUGAAGCUUGACCGGUUCUCUAGAUUUGGCAUUUGAGAACACUGGCCACUGGGACUAAGAAUGAUCAGAUGUCAACCAUCGCACAUAGAAGACAUGCUCCAAAGUGUAAUUCAGUACAGUUUUGGAAAAGAGAAUUAGCACGUAUUGCUUGCAAACAAGGUGACAACUCACAAAUAUGCUUCGAUAAUAUAUGCAGUUGUAGCGAUACAGUUUAUGCCUACAUUUUAGAUGCAAAACUAGGGAACUCAUCAGAAAUAUUUUCAAUAAUGCAGCAGUGUCGUUAUUACUGUAAUGUUGAACUUUUCUCCCCUAACAUGGUCUAACCGUAAUUCGUUGAGGCAUUUGCACGAGCAGGACAUCCAUUUGCAAAACCCAUCAUCUAUGGUAAGUUGGUAACAUUUCUCAACACCAAGUUUUGGAGAUUAUUAUGAGAAACUAAGGUGGGUGCUCUAAGAAUUGUAUCUGUGUUGAUGAAUAGAGACCUCAAAUAUCCAGAAAAGUAGAUACAAGAUGGCAAUUCUAGCAUCACCCCUAUCUGAUAUGUGCAGUCUCAAUUGAAGCUCAAGCACUUCAACAUUACACCUUAAUGCAAUAUGGAUCCAGAGAGACCUGCAUAGAAGUUCCAAUCGAUACGAAAUCGCUGUAUCCUAUUAGCCCCAUGAAGAAUCAUGAACCUAUCUAUAGAAUUCAACAGUUUAAACGGAUCCUGCCUGUUUAUUGCGAUAUAGAAACCUCUGCAUCUUUUGGACACGCUGCCCACUUGAACGACUUGUCGAAAACUGAAGCCUGACAGUUUGUGAUGAGCCAAAUUGUUGGGUAGAUUACUAAAUCUAUCGACUACUCUUCCUACAGGCUCCUGGAGCUUGAGAACUUGCAGUUGCAAAUAACAUAGUCCGUGGUACCUGGUUUCUCUAUGUUCCUGUGGGAGAAAUUAACACCUACUAGUUUCAAAGGACAUGAGAUCAAAACUUGUAUAAAUACAUGGUGCCUAAGACCAUUUAAAUAUCUAAACUCUAUAUGCUCUAUUAUAUUUCACAUUUUAUGAGUCCAUAUUUAAGCACCUCUAAACAGGCACACAACAAGAAAACUGUAAUGAGAGGGAGGAAACUAUCAGUUGAAUCAAAUGCAAAUUGAGGAGCCAAAAAAGGACAAGAAAAUCGUAAAAUUAAUAUAAAUAAAGGGGACAUUAUGAAAAUGAAUGCAAAUUUAAGUACAGCUAACCCUUUACAGGUUUCCUGGUUGGUUAAUAGAACUACUCAAUUCCAAGAUAUCAACAAAAGUUUACACUGAAGCAGCUGCAAUUUAUCUCGACAAGAACCCAUAUUCUGAAAUUGCAAUCUCAAAUGCUUGAAUCCUUUCCCCGGUAGCAAAGCCAUUGCGAUCAUAAGACGAUAUUUCACCUAUGUUGAGAUCACUGCAGACUUGAAUCAACUUCUCGCCAACGCGUUUAGCAGCUUCAGCGGUACUACAAUUGGGAUCCUGACGGAUAGAUUUCUGCAGUGUGCUUCCAUAAAACAAACACUUGUUGUUCUGGUCAUCUACCAGCAUAGCAUACAAUUGUUUGUCUGAACAGAAGACCGAAAGCCUCGGCUUCGUGGGCGUGCCGUUGUACUUCUUCUGCAUUCUUCUGUUUCGAGUUUUUGCACUUUCAGUUCUGGCAGGCUGCCUCGCUCUCAUUACUACCGACUUCAUGGAGAAUUUUCUUAUAGUCUGCAAAACUUGAAAGUUGGAAGUUGCAGAACGACUCCCUAAAAGAGCAGAAGACAUAAACUGGAGAGCAGCAACGUUCACUAGAGCCAUACCUCCACCCUGCAAAUUGGGUAUCAUUGAAAACAAACGAAAAUCUGCGAAAAUUGCAAAGCAAGUUCAUUGAGACAUUUCAUCGAGCACCUUAUGGGUCCAGUUAUGAUGCAUUAAAACAUUCUUUGCAUAAAGCUCUACGAAAGUUGGACGCUUUGUCUGUGACCAGAAUGGUGGCAGCAGCUUACCAACAAGCACACAUCAAUCAUAAGCUUGUAGAUCACUUAUGAAUUCAGUUCAAUAAGCUAACACUUAAACGCAGUUUCACAAAGAAGAAAACUUGGGGACCAGACAAACCAACCCAAGUCCAUAUGCAAUGGAUGUAAACAAAGUGAUCAAAUUUCCAAAUUUGUUAGUUAUCUACUUUAGGGUAAUUGCUAGCAUCUAAUCUCUUUUAGGGUAGAGUGUUUGUCUAAAGAAAAAGCAUCCAUAAGUAAAUUUCAGGUUUUAUAUGCAAAAGGAGUAACACAUAGACAAGGAUAAGAUGCGGAAAGCAAGGUAUUUAAAACAGUAAUACUGAAACAAACGUGCUGCUCGUUUAUAAAGAACUCAUAGGAUCCACAAACAACCUAACAAGUAAAAACAAUCAAAACAUUCUUUUGCUCCUACCCACGUCACAGUCAUUUUAUGAUGCAAAACCACAAAAAGAAAGAAUCAAGCUUGCAGUAACUUCAAAUGUUCCAUUUCUGUUUCUUAGCUAGAUGAAAAAUCAAAGUCUACACAAAUUCCAAAACCUCUCAUUUUGAAACUCGCUGCUGAGUCAAGCUGAACAUGAGCCUACGCUUGAUGAUCCAACUUAAUGGAUUCACGUCUGUUCAAGGAAAACUCAAGGAACCCUGAAAAGCUGCACUUGAGCUGAGCAUGCAGGAAGAUACCAAAUUUGUGAAGCAGACAGAUGACAAUGCCAUAUGAGCUCUUUAAAACAGUUGGCCCAUGAUUCGAGCUCCAACUUUUGUACUGAAGAAAAGUGUCGGGAAUAUAUUUCAAAUCAUCAACUCUCUUAUUUUUCAUUAUAACUUGGCCUGAUUGCGCGGCAGUGUAGCAUCCAAAAGCCAAACUCUAAUUGUGAUGAUUGUAUAAAUCCCACUUGUAUGACAUGGCUAUACUUCUGGCAUAUAGAACUGAUAAUUUGAUGGAAGUCAUUUCUCACUACACCUUCCCAUUCCUCUAAAUGUUGUUCUACACAUGCAUUUGAAUAUGAAUGCCAACAAAAGAUAGCGAAGAUAGAUAACAAGAGUUCAGGGUCAACAUGAUUUGCAGCGUCAGUGCUGACCCUAGAGCUCACAGUAACCAAAAGAUUAGAUUCAGUUCAGAGGAAGUUGCCCACAAUGUCAGAACAUAUGAAGCUUCUUAAACCAAUGACAUUCCUGAUGGGUAUUAGGAACGAUAUAUUAGAGAUUAUCAGGUUCAUAUCAACUUUGAUAUAUCUCUAAUGAUCGAAGACCAACACUUAGUUAUUCAACCAAUAAAUCCAAGAACUCAAACUUAAGUUGCUUAGCCUUAAACAAUCAAUGGAUGAAGGAAUAAAAAUAAAAUAAAAUAAAUUUAAAUAGUCUCACAUGCAUUUCAUCAAACAGGUGGUGAGCAACAAUAUCAGUUUGUCAAAUGCAUUCUUACACAUAAUACUGUCAAGGACUGGGUCAUUGAUGGUUCAGAAUCACAAAACGUAAACAGAAACGAAGAAAAGCAAAAACCCAGAAAGCCCCAGAACUGAAAACACUACCUGGAAUCAAAAAAAGAUUGGCAAAAAAAUUUGGACCAUUUCUCGAUUUAUGCGUGUCAUCCUUGCGCAGGGGCCAUGCUAAUCUUCUCUGUAUCGUUCCAAUUUUAUCGGAUGUCCCCGAAGGGACGAGCUCUACUGUCAUGUCUUCCAAAAUAAACAGCCUUCUGUUUUCGCUUUUCUGCGAUGUGGGAUCAUAACAAAAGCACGUGGGCCUCACGUGUCGUCUCUCUCAAAGCGCAAUUGUAUGGGACUAUUGAAGGGGAUAGACAAGUAACCGUAACUUCACCAUGACCAAUGGCUUCUGAUGGAAAUCAUCCCCUUCUUUUUGUUCUUUCUGUUUGGAUUUAGGAAUCAAGAGCUUUAAAUCCCUGUCACAAAAGUUUGGUCUUAGCUGCUUGGAACUGAUCAUGAGUAAGAUUGUGUUUCGCUUCUGUAGCCUAAAACUUAACCAGUAUUGCUCUACAUAUUCAUAAGUUAGAAACAGAAUCAGACUCUGCUAGUCUUGUGUUCAAAUCUGCAACUCUUGAUCUUCACCUUCUUGGUACCCUCGUCUUGAAGUAUGGAGCAAUUUGAUACUUGCGGGUAUAAGCAUAUUCGUAACUCAUAAGGGAUGUACAUGCAUACAAGUAGCUGAAAUCCUUGCUAAGGAUUCAACACUCUUCGGGUGUCCGCACUUUCACUUCCCCUCCUGCCAAGGUAGUUGAAGCCUUGUUCUUUGGUGUAGCUAGACACAAAUAGCCGAGUAGUUGCCUUUCCUGUUCUUCUCUAUUUGAUGGGUAGGUGACUAGUUGCCUUCAUUCAAAAAAAAAAAAAAAAAAAGUUUCUUUUCUGGAUGAAAAAAUAGUGGCCGAGCGAGCUAUAGGUCUAGGCCGGAGCGAGCUUUAGGUAUGACCUUUCUCAAAAGAAUCUUUCCACAAGAUGAGGUUGACUAUUUUGCAGUCCGACUUGCUUCCAUUAGACCAGUCUUAUUAAACAAGAAUACAAUUUUUUUUUUAUAAUUCUUUUAGAUGAAUGCGAUAACUGAUAUUAAAUUAUAACUAAGAUGUAUAUAGAGUGAUUCAGAAAUAUCAUAACAAGAUACACAAAAUUAUCUAUAACAAGAAAAAACAAUAAAAGAAAACAAAACGCAUGAAUACAUCUAAAAUGAUAUAUAACCAUAGAACUGUACAUGGCCCUUCCAAUGAGGGAUCCCUAUUUUAAGCCAUUUAUAGGGAUAGGGCAUUACACCAACUUCCCGACUAUAAUUUUACAUCUCCACCGUUCAUAUCUUAGGUCUAUAUGAGUAGAUCAUCUCUACAAAAUUUCAUAUGAUUUGGUGAUCGUUAAGACUUUCAAAAGUUCAAUUUAGUUUUAAUGACCUUCAACGGUUUAGUUUGACNNNNNNNNNNNNNNNNNNNNACCUUCAACGGUUUUAGUUUGACAUAAGCUGGACCGUUCAAGAUCAUUAAAACUAAAUCAAACUUUUGAAAGCCUUAACGAUCACCAAAUCAUAUGAAAUUUUGUAGAGGUGAUCUACUCAUAUAGACCUAAGAUAUGAACGGUGGAGAUGUAAAAAUUCAAUUGGGAAGUGGUGUAAUGCCCUAUCCCUAGAAAGUGGCCAAAAAUAGGGAUCCCUCAAUGGAAGGGGGCUGUAGAACUGUAUGCCUAUUGAUGCAUUAUAUAUGUCAUGAAAGCUAGUGUAAGUGUAGGAAUAACUGUAACCAUGAUCGUUACCAGAACCAAGGAGAUACAACCAUUACGACAUUUUAUAACUACUUAGUAUUUAUAAUAAAUUUUCACAACACGUAACAUUUCACUGUCUUAUUAUAAAUAAUUCACAUGACAAACACCUGUUUUAUGUUUUAUUGACACCACUUUUAUUCCACAAUGACAUUUCUAUUUAUACUUUCACUGGUUUGUCCCCACGUCUCAAAAAUAUAAUUAAAUUUUUAUUUUGCAAUUUUUGAACACCGCCUUGUGCAACACACACCUUGGGCAACACACCAAUGCGAACCUUCCAUAAUACACUUUCACCCGCACGAUCAACUCAACGGCUCCGAUUCAGCGGUUUAUACAACUAAAAGAGAGACCCACCGCCUCCUACAAUACCCUAUGAGAAGAAUAUUGGAGAAAUCAGAAAUUGCUAAGUUGGUUCGGUAGGCUUAACUUUAGCCUCACGUUCUCAAAAGUCGAAACGUUUCUUCGCUGGCUUCAAAUCAAACUAGGUUUUCUGAGCCUCCUUUGAUUCUCAGUCUUUAGGGCUUUUGUUCAAUUUCACUGGAUCACUUCAGGUCCUUCCUUCUUUUUUCUGUAUGGACUUUUUUUUGUUGUUGAUUUUUUAGAUCCAUCUAAGGGCUCUGAUCUUGGUACUAGUUUGAUUAUUCUUUGACGUUUUGAAUUUGGAAUCACUGAUUGUUGUGUUGCAAUUAAUUAUCGUUCUGAAAUUGUAUUGCUGCAAUCAGAUUCGAAUUCAUUUUUUGUUUUUUUUGUUUUUGCUUUUAGUAUUUGACUUUGGUGAUUUUAAGGAUUCAGAAUGUAAAUCCAGUUCUAACAACUUGAUUUUAGACAAGUUAAUUAUUAUGUGAAUAAUUAUGGUUUCUGAUUUAACUGUUGAAUUUCAUGAUAGACUCGUAUAAUUGAAACUGAGAAAUUACUCUUCAUUUUAAUGGUUUUGGCUUCAGUCUGUAUGAUUUGUUAGAAUUCGUACUCAUGGUGCUGUCUUCUUUGCAGGUUUUAUAUUCAGAUUCACCGUAUUUGGGUAGUCAAACUCAUCUACAGAACUUUCAAGCUCACCUCACAAAAUUACUGAAUACAACUAGUGGUAGAAUAGAUGUGUGAGUGAUUUUAUAUUAUUUUAUAUUUUUUUAAAUUUACUUCAUAUCAGUGUAUUACAUAGAGAUUUUUCACUGAGGGUGUGUUUUGAUUGUUUCAGGAUCGAUACAGUUAAUUGGUAGGAGAAACAAAUAGAGGUAGUUUCUCUUGAUUGGUGUUUUUCUUCCUGCAUUUGAUAAUUUUUAAUUCUUAUCUUCUUUAGUGGGUUCUGUUUCAGUCAUUGCAAGAAGAAUUACCAUUUUCUGGUUACUCGCACAUAUACGUUGUUCAGAAACAUGACUUGUACGAUAUGUCCUGCUACUACAGAAUACGGUACGGUUUUGUGUGUUUCUUUUUCCUAUGGUUCUGUUGUUUAUAUUUGCUUCUUUCACUUAAGAAGGGGAAGUACUUCUAUAUUCUUGUGCCUGAUUUUGAACCGACACUCGAAGUUAGAAUAUUGAACUUCUGUGUUGUAAAAGAUGUUAUACAUAUAAAACGUGCAACUUAUCAUUAUAAAUUGCUUGGGUGUUAAAGGCAUCAUGUUUCACCUGUUUCUUUUAAUCAUUGGUGGUGGUCGGAAAUACCCAGCUUUUCUUUGCCUUUUUUAUGUAGUGAGGUCAAUAAAAGUUAUUAUCUUUGACCUGUAUUAUGGAACUGGACGUGUAGCAUGAAAAGAUAUAUGAUUAAGCUCACCAGUAAAUACUCUUACAUGCAGAUUUUACCUUCUGGUAAAUGAAUUAGAAUUAGUAUAAUGAGAGAUGCUAUAUCUUAAAUGCAGGCUAUGCAAAUUUGUCUCCAUGGAACAAUUUCUCCAUUCCCGGAACUGAAGAAAAGUAUUGUACAUUGUUUUUAGAGCAUUUAGGAUUUAGUCUGUAAAUAGGGCUUUUCCGUAUAGAUAAAUGGAAACAGACAGGGUUAAGGUCUUGGAUGAUGACCACCACAAAAUAGUUGUCAAUUUGAAGGGGAAAAGGGCAACAAAUAGUGCAGCACUUAUAGUCGGAGCUAGUCGCCCAGUGUUGUCUCGACAGUCCAGCUCACCUUCAUCGUUUAACAAACUUGGCAAGCGUAAGCGAUCUAAUGAAUGCAGAAACAAGUGUAGAUCAAACUUCAGAAGCUCCGUGCUAAAAAACUAUACAAAUUUCAGCAAAAGUGGGCUUCCUCAGCGAUUUCUAUACUAUGAAUCUGGGGACUGGAUAGACUUUCCUCAUGGAGUUGUUGACUUGGUCAGGGAGCACUUUCGACUGAAAAAUGCAGUUAUAAAUGUGGAUUGGAACGGCUGCCAUUUGUUGCUAGAUAUUCUGUUUAUGAUACAGGUGGAAAUUAAAACAGGUCUAGUAAAGCAAAUUGCUUGGAUUGAUGAAGCAGGUUCUUGUUUCUUUCCAGAAAUCCGUUCUUGUCAUUUAGAGAAAGAAAAGUACUGCCAUUCUAAGUUACAGAGUGAUUCACCUUAUGUGCUGAACGAAGCAAAUGGGACCCAGGAGAUCACUUUGAAGCUUGAGAUUGGACUAACUGGAUUGAAUAGCUCCAAUACAGAGGAAUGUGUUGAGGAGUCGAACAGUCCUGCUAAGAGGACUAAAAUUGAACAAAACCCUCUGGGUAAUCGAGACGAUAGGGAUGUAAAUGACUAUUGCAACCAAAUAUCACAUCCCAAAAUACAGGAAAUCCAUAAGGGAACUCGACAUUUUGAUGAAAACAUAAUCCCCAAGUCUCCAAUUUUGGCUGAAACACUGGACUCUAAGUCAGUACGAGACAUAUUUGAUAAGGGCAUUGGUUCCUCUGUGAGUGCAUGUAUAGUAGAGAUGAAGCAGUGCUCGAGUGAUUUGAUGCAAGCAAGAGCUGAGCUGUUCCAUAAGCAGGUUGAAAUAACAAAGAAGUACCGCGGUGAUCCUAAUGUUCAAUAUGGUUGGAUGGCUGUUACUAAAGAUGCCCUUCCUAACAUCAUGUUGUAUGGACUUGGGCAUGGCGGACCCAUGAUUAUGUCCUCAUAUGGCAUUGGAGUUCACUUGACAUCUGUUAAUUAUGGCCAUAUCAGGUUUGCACAUAUUUCCUGUCUAUCAAUUCAUUUAUCAUAUUAAGGAAUUUUAGUAGAAGUAAGAUGUUGGUAACAAAAUCAUCUAUGAUUUUUUCCUUUGUCCAUUCGAUGUAAAAGUAUUAGUACAGUACUUUGUGCCUCCUCCUCCCCCAAACAAAACUUAUUUCUUCCAAGAUCCAGAUUUUGGUGCUGUAGUGAAGCCUUUUAUGCUCUCUUUUUGAGGAUAUAUAUUCUUAUUUCUACUGUAAUUUGCUUUGUCAGAGGUUUUACUGCUUGUUUUCUUGACAGUGCAAGUAACUGUGAUGAUGACGAAAAUGGGGUGAGGUACAUAAUGUUAUGCCGUGUUAUCAUGGGAAAUGUCGAAUUGGUCAAUCCCGGAUCUGGACAGUGCCAUCCCAGUUCUAUACAAUAUGAUAGUGGAGUUGAUGACCUUCAAAAUCCACGCCAUCUUAUAGUUUGGAGUAUGAACAUGAACACCCAUAUUUUUCCGGAGUAUGUUGUCAGUUUCAAGACAUCUUUGAAUGCUGAAGGUUGUAUAUCUCUCCUCAUAUGCUAGUUCCUUGUUUGAUUUUCAGGUGUGCUUGCACACCCUGUCUCCUUUGAACGCCUUUUUUUUAACAAAUUUCUUUAUAUUUUUUUUAUGUGUUUUAUAUUUUAACUUUACUCUUCAUCUGAGAAUGUUUUAUCACAUGUACCCACCUAAAAUUGCCGCACCUCUCAAAUACUUGAAAUAGGAAUACAUUCUAUUUUCUGGAAAUAAAUGGUGGGAUUAACCCUCGAAUUCUAUUGGUGAUGGAGAAACUUGAUCAGCUGGCUCUGUGUUUAACUUAGGUCAUUUUUGGUACUUAUAGGUUUACAGAUAAUAAAAUAAUAGUAGAUGAAUUUCAUACCUCUUGGUUGGAAUAUGCUACUCCCGCAGCCAUAGGGGGUUAUAUCUGAAGAGCCCUAUCUGGAACUAUGUAGUGGUGUUCACUUGCUUGACAAUCGAUUCCCAACCAGUAAGAUCAUAAAUUUAGACCUAUGUAGUGGUCUUUCUUCUAAUCAACCUAGAUGAAUACUGUUGCUGGGAACAGGAAGUGGCCAUUGGGGUUUGGGUUUAGGGUUAUUCCAACCUUUUGUCUGAUCAAGUUUCUGAGAGAAAAGAGAACAAAUGCGUUAUGACUUAUGACUAUCCUUUUCUCUUCAUACAUCUACAUAUGCGUUAUGACUUACUGUUCCACAUCUCUGGUGUGUUUUUUUACUUUCUGGGAACCUUUUGCUUCAUGUAGACACUUUUCUUUAGAUCAUUUUUGCUUAGAAAAUAUAAGUAUUGGACCACUAGAACUUUUUGUUGCUACUACAGGGAC
RNAcentral lists this long non-coding RNA (13796 nucleotides) under Fragaria vesca (wild strawberry). RNAcentral describes it as "long non-coding RNA (FVES_LNC002512)". The record is from RNAcentral. Lineage: Eukaryota; Viridiplantae; Streptophyta; Magnoliopsida; Rosales; Rosaceae.